This 282-nucleotide ribosomal RNA is filed under the name uncultured bacterium. RNAcentral describes it as "partial 16S ribosomal RNA". It matches the Rfam family "Bacterial small subunit ribosomal RNA", at positions 333 to 631 of the family's 1533-position model. The record is from RNAcentral.
GUAACCCUACGGGAGGCAGCAGUGGGGAAUAUUGCACAAUGGGGGAAACCCUGAUGCAGCAACGCCGCGUGAAGGAAGACGGUUUUCGGAUUGUAAACUUCUGUUCUUAGUGAAGAAUAAUGACGGUAGCUAAGGAGCAAGCCACGGCUAACUACGUGCCAGCAGCCGUGGUAAUACGUAGGUGGCAAGCGUUGUCCGGAAUUACUGGGUGUAAAGGGAGCGCAGGCGGGAAGCCAAGUCAGCUGUGAACACUACGGGCUUAAGUGGGAGACUGCAGUUGAA